GUGAGUAGUUCAGAGUUUGAUCCUGGCUCAGGAUGAACGCUAGCUACAGGCUUAACACAUGCAAGUCGAGGGGCAGCGCAGUGUAGCAAUACAUGGGCGGCGACCGGCGCACGGGUGCGUAACGCGUAUCCAACCUUCCCGUUACUCAGGGAUAGCCUUCCGAAAGGGAGAUUAAUACCUGAUGGUAUUCAAAUUUCGCAUGUUAUUUGAAUUAAAGAUUUAUCGGUAACGGAUGGGGAUGCGUGACAUUAGGUAGAUGGCGGGGUAACGGCCCACCAUGCCUACGAUGUCUAGGGGUUCUGAGAGGAAGGUCCCCCACACUGGAACUGAGACACGGUCCAG
This 342-nucleotide ribosomal RNA is filed under the name uncultured bacterium. RNAcentral's name for it is "bacterial SSU rRNA". It matches the Rfam family "Bacterial small subunit ribosomal RNA", at positions 1 to 334 of the family's 1533-position model. The record is from RNAcentral.